This 31-nucleotide non-coding RNA is filed under the name Rattus norvegicus (Norway rat). The record is from RNAcentral. Lineage: Eukaryota; Metazoa; Chordata; Mammalia; Rodentia; Muridae.
UUUGAUGGUGGAAUGUCUCCGGUCUAGCAUU